This is a long non-coding RNA of Dipodomys spectabilis (banner-tailed kangaroo rat), 1048 nucleotides long. RefSeq lists it as uncharacterized. The transcript is spliced from 3 exons. Lineage: Eukaryota; Metazoa; Chordata; Mammalia; Rodentia; Heteromyidae. The record is from RefSeq and is a predicted model, not a curated record.
GCGCGCGCCUCUGCCUUCCCGCGGGGGAGGCGUGCACCACUCGCCGCACACACCUGUCCGCGCACACACGCAGCCCGUAAAGACACCGCGGUUACCUGUACGCGCACCAACGGCCCUUUUGGAAGCUGAGAUCUGAGGAUUACCAUUAGAAGCCGACCCAGGACGGAAAGCCGAAGAUUCUUAUCCCCAAUUAACAAAAAGCCAGAAGUGGAAUGUGGCUAAAAGAAGUAGAGCACCAGCCUUCAGCAGACAAAGCCAAGUGCUAGCCAUGUGUUGAGAUGAAGGGAUAAUCAGACGGUCCAGGAACUACCAGGAGCGAGUAAGCAACUGACCUGAUUCCAGUAAACCCACACAUCACUGUAGCCCAAUGGUGAAAGUAGGAGCUUCCAUGGAUCAGGUGACCCAUGGACUUUGAACUCAAGGCUGCCUCACAGCUGAACCCGUCUUGUGAUUGUCACCAUUCUAGAAUGUAUCAUUGGAAUAGAUGUUCUCAAUACCCAGCAGAAUAGUCACAUUAUUAUAUUCACACCUGUGGGAUGAGUGUUAUUAUGUAGAGAAAGGCCAAACUGAAGCAGUUAGAACUGUCUCAAACUCGGAACGUUGUAAACCAAAAGCAGUAACAAGAUCCUGGAAGGACUGCAGAGUUCAGAGCCACCAUCAAUAAUUGAAGGAUAUAGAGGUGGUAGUCCCCACCAUAUCUUCACUCAGUAUGCCUAUUGGCCUGUAUAGAAAACAGGUACAUUGGGUUAUCCAGGUGGCCACUCCAUCUGCAGCUGCAAUACCACCUGUGGUUCCUUUGCUUAACACAUUCCUGGCACCUGCUAAGCAGUCACUGACUCAGCAGAUGCCGUUUUCCCAUCUGUCACCAAAUCUCACCUUCACUGUUCUGCACAGAGCCCAUGAACCCUCCAGCUCUAUGCCAUAGGGCACUUGGUCACUGUUUUUCUCCAGGAAAUACCACACUGCUCUGAUACCAAUGACAUUAUGCUGAUUGUACCUGGUAAGCAGAAGGGAGCAGCCACUUUGUCUUAUUGGUAAGACAUCUACA